RNAcentral lists this ribosomal RNA (253 nucleotides) under uncultured bacterium. RNAcentral's name for it is "partial 16S ribosomal RNA". It matches the Rfam family "Bacterial small subunit ribosomal RNA", at positions 524 to 776 of the family's 1533-position model. The record is from RNAcentral.
UACGAAGGGGGCUAGCGUUGUUCGGAUUUACUGGGCGUAAAGCGCACGUAGGCGGAUCGUUAAGUCGGGGGUGAAAUCCUGGAGCUCAACUCCAGAACUGCCUUCGAUACUGGCGAUCUCGAGUCCGGAAGAGGUAAGUGGAAUUCCUAGUGUAGCGGUGAAAUGCGUAGAGAUUAGGAAGAACACCAGUGGCGAAGGCGACUUACUGGACUGUAACUGACGCUGAGGCAUGAAAGCGUGGGGAGCAAACAGG